RNAcentral lists this ribosomal RNA (440 nucleotides) under uncultured bacterium. Its description in RNAcentral is "partial 16S ribosomal RNA". It matches the Rfam family "Bacterial small subunit ribosomal RNA", at positions 338 to 795 of the family's 1533-position model. The record is from RNAcentral.
CCUACGGGGUGCUGCAGUGGGGAAUAUUGCACAAUGGGGGGAACCCUGAUGCAGCAACGCCGCGUGGGUGAAGAAGUACUUCGGUAUGUAAAGCCCUGUCAGCAGGGAAGAAAAUGACGGUACCUGACCAAGAAGCCCCGGCUAACUACGUGCCAGCAGCCGCGGUAAUACGUAGGGGGCAAGCGUUAUCCGGAUUUACUGGGUGUAAAGGGGGCGCAGACGGCAGCGCAAGCCAGGAGUGAAAGCCCGGGGCCCAACCCAGGGACUGCUCUUGGAACUGCGCGGCUGGAGUGCAGGAGGGGCAGGCGGAAUUCCUGGUGUAGCGGUGAAAUGCGUAGAUAUUAGGAGGAACACCAGAGGCGAAGGCGGCUCACUGGACUGUAACUGACGUUGAGGCUCGAAAGCGUGGGGAGCAAACAGGAUUAGAUACCCCGGUAGUC